Long non-coding RNA from Herpailurus yagouaroundi (jaguarundi), 380 nucleotides. RefSeq lists it as uncharacterized. The record is from RefSeq and is a predicted model, not a curated record. Lineage: Eukaryota; Metazoa; Chordata; Mammalia; Carnivora; Felidae. The transcript is spliced from 3 exons.
AGGCAGGAGAGAAAGGUUGGACAUGAAGCCCUGGGAGAGGUCACCUCUCCCACGGAGCCCGUCAGGCCAGCCACCGAGGCUCUGACUCAGGCGGCACUUGGCCGUGGAGCUCAGCCUUCCAUGUGACCUCCCUGGACAAAGAGCCCCAGUAAAGAUGUUCCAAACUCCGUGAAAUUCCUCCCUUGGUCUACAAACAAAGCAAGUCACGAGUUCUCUUACCAUGAAGACCCCCCCGCCCCACCCCCGCCAGCCCCCGGGCAGCCUCCCACCUACGGGCAUCAAAAAGUUAAAUCUUCGUUUUGGAGGUCAGACAAGUUGGUGGAACUUUGAGUUGUUACGUCAAAUCCACUUGAAACUCGCAGCGACCUCUGCAAUUAUCA